This 894-nucleotide ribosomal RNA is filed under the name Fermentozyma sake. Its description in RNAcentral is "LSU rRNA". It matches the Rfam family "Eukaryotic large subunit ribosomal RNA", at positions 48 to 976 of the family's 3401-position model. Lineage: Eukaryota; Fungi; Ascomycota; Pichiomycetes; Serinales; Debaryomycetaceae. The record is from RNAcentral.
CAACGGAGAAAGACCACCGGGAUUGCCUCAGUACGGCGAGUGAAGCGGCAAAAGCUCAAAUUUGAAAUCUGCGUAAGCCGAGUUGUAAUUUGAAGAUGGCUACUUUGGUAAUGGCUCUUGUCUAUGUUCCUUGGAACAGGACGUCACAGAGGGUGAGAAUCCCGUGCGAUGAGAUGUCCAUUACCGUGUAAAGUGCUUUCGAAGAGUCGAGUUGUUUGGGAAUGCAGCUCUAAGUGGGUGGUAAAUUCCAUCUAAAGCUAAAUAUUGGCGAGAGACCGAUAGCGAACAAGUACAGUGAUGGAAAGAUGAAAAGAACUUUGAAAAGAGAGUGAAAAAGUACGUGAAAUUGUUGAAAGGGAAGGGCUUGAGAUCAGACUUGGUAUUUUGUAUGGCUUGCUUUCGGGCGGGUCCUCUGCAGUUUACUGGGCCAGCAUCGGUUUGGGUGGCAGGAUAAUAGCAUAGGAAUGUGGCUCUACUUCGGUGGAGUGUUAUAGCCUUUGUUGAUACUGCCUGCCUAGACCGAGGACUGCGUCUUUUGACUAGGAUGCUGGCAUAAUGAUCCUAAGCCGCCCGUCUUGAAACACGGACCAAGGAGUCUAACGUCUAUGCGAGUGUUUGGGUGUAAAACCCGUACGCGGAAUGAAAGUGAACGUAGAUGAGAGYCUUUUAGGCGCAUCAUCGACCGAUCCUGAUGUCUUCGGAUGGAUUUGAGUAACAGCAUAGCUGUUGGGACCCGAAAGAUGGUGAACUAUGCCUGAAUAGGGUGAAGCCAGAGGAAACUCUGGUCGAGGCUCGUAGCGGUUCUGACGUGCAAAUCGAUCGUCUAAUUUGCGUAUAGGGGCGAAAGACUAAUCGAACAUCUAGUAGCUGGUUCUGCGAAAAUUUCCCCCCCAG